AUACACUGUAAAGAGGGAGGGGGAAAGAGAGACAGAGCUUGGGAGUAUGGGAGAUGGGACGAAGUGAUUGCACCACAGCAGUUGUUGAUGAGAGGUGAGAGUUGGACCAGGAAAGAACAGCAACAAGGGCAGACCUCUCCUUCUAUCCUCACCAGCAGCAAAGGCUGGUACCCAAUGGUUUGUCCAGCGCGAAUUACACAGCUUUGAGGAACAGUACAGCAGCAGUGACCGACUAAGGCGGACUAUGAUGGAGCCAUUACUGGACUCACCAUCAUUUUUGUCUCGGCUGAAAUAAUAGGGUGCAGCAUGGGGCUUCAUUUAAAUGUUGCACUGUACACAGCAAUUAUGGGAAAUAAAUGGUUGACAAAGAGAAGAUAGUUAUACGUGUUUUAAGCAUGAAUUAAGUGUGUCCAUGUGUCCUACCCUAUGAUUCUCUAAAGUAAUUGGACCAAAGGCUCUUCAAUGUGAUUUUGCAUUGUGAUUUAUAGCAACACAAUGAAUAGAUAUGUGUGUGGAAUAAUUUACCCUUUGUACAACCUUCCAGUUUUAGAAGUGUCACACCUGUGUACAGUAAUACGCGUUGAGACCUGUGUGUAACAAGAAUUAAUACAUACUGAGCUGGUGGCAUGCGAAUAGGUAAGUAUAGGGCACCUGUUCAGGCAUGUUCAGCUCUGCGCUGUAACUUAUUGACGUGAGACAAACACGGGGAGAUGCAGAAUCACAAGGCUGACAGCUCUCUUGUAUUGUCACAACAGAGAAAAAUGGAGAUAAUUGUUUCCCUACAGAAUUCCCCUCGCAAAUGUAAAGAGAUUGACCCCACAGGUCAUUUCCAUUAUAUAAAUUAAAUGCAGCUUAGUUGCAUAUCUGUAGCGUGUGACAAGCCAAUGGAGCUGUCAUGACCUGCAAAACAAGACGCUUCUUAAAAUAACCGUCCCCGAUACCCAAAUGCAGCAUUCCUUCAUGAGCUUUGAAGUGCAGCAACAUCUCAGCUCAGGAUGAUGUUGCAAAGUUUUCAGUCAUGAUGCAUAUAAACUUAAAAGAAAAUGAUAUUCUGACUGUGUGUAAAUCAACUGAGCAACUGUGCACAGCAGCUGAGUAGCAGAUGAAUUUGUGAGCUGUGACAAGUCGCACUGUUGAAAGAGGCAUCCAGAGUUUCCCUACAAUGAUUAAUUCAGCAAUUCAAGGUCAGGGGGCUUUUAUUUUGGAGAUGAUAGCAAGUAUUGCAUGCAGCACAUAUUUCCAGCUGCGUUCACAAUAUUAUAGGCCCCUAAAAGUGAGCUCAUUAUGUCUCCUCCUACUCCCACAUUACACCAGCCACACACACACACACACACACACACACACACAAUGCCAGAGCAGAUUAGGAGGAUGGUUAUGCUCCAACCUUAUCACAGAGUCUUCAGCUUGCAGGGUCAAUGGGCCCCGUAACCAGGAAAGCCUUCAUUCUUUUCCACCUACCUAUGCAUGUCACAUGCACUGUGAUACCAUAUCAAACAAUAAAUGGAUAAAACUGAGUUUUAAGAUAUAGUGCUGUGAGUAAAUGUGGGAAAUGGAGAUUUGUAUGAAAAACGUCUCUCAUGCUACUAAGUAAAAGUGUUUGGAAUCUCAUUUAAUGAUGUUAUAUGUUGAGCGUAUGAUAAUCUGUCACCAGAAAAAAUAAAGCUUUUAUGACAAUCAAUGUCAAUCAAGUUUAAAUGUCAUAUUCAUGAGGUGGUCGUACCAUGCAAUAAAGACACAGCCUGCUCAAAACAAGUGGUGGGUAAUGGAAGAAAUAAAUAUUUAUGGGAUGUGGAUGAGCAAUAAUUCAAAAUGUCUAAAAAUACUUUUAUUUGUUACAAUCCUUUUUCACUUGCUGUUUUUAGAGUGGGAUAAAAGCCUUAGAUGUUAAUAUUUUAUGGCUAUAGCUGGCUGGAAAUCUGCAGCAUCUUACUAAAUACACAUACAAAUCUUCAAAACUAUUUUUGGACACAUUCCAGGGCCCUGGAUACAUUUGAGUCAUUUCAGAAAGUGCAAAUACAUAUUGUAAUGCAACAAUCUAUGUCAUAUGAAUGGGAUCAGCUCAAUAAAAGAAUAUGCAAGGAAAUUUCAGAUAUUUAAUUUUAGGGCUCCUUAAAUUCAUGAGCAUCAAUUUCCAUCCUUGUUGCAGCACUAAAGGCUCCCAUUUAGACUCCAUUAAAAAUACAUUUUCCUCUAUACUCCAGCUGCCAAGGUUAUGCAAAUGCCUGUGCUCCAGGAGCAAUAGUUUGCCAGCCGUACAAACCCGCUGAGCAGUGCCCACAACCUCAUAAUCUAUUAACAUCUAAGGAGGUUGAUUGUUCGGUUGACCUAAUGUCUCAUUUGGAUGCACAUAAUAGUAUCUGAAUGCGAUCCAAACCUAACAGGGUCCUUCACUAGAAGCUGGCCUUUGGUCUAAGAUAAGGCCUCAUGGCUGCCAAGAGGAGACAAAAUCAAACUUAUGAGCAAUAAAUAUUCGACUUGCAAGAUUCAGGUAAACGUGCCUUUCUCCGAAUCCAAACCCGUCAACUUUUGACAGAGGACUGUUUACUAGACAAUAUAAAACAUCAUCAUUGUAUAAAGCAAAGUCAGUUCCACAGAAUGUACAUGUAUAAAUAUAUUUAUACAGCUCUAUACACACACACACACACAGACACACACACACACACACACACACACACACACUAAUGUCUGUCUCUCUCUCUUUCUCCUCGGCUAGUAUUCCAUCUCCUUCAUCUGAGGCAGUAAUGAGUGUCUGCUAUUCUGUUCUUCAACAUCGACGCCCUAUUCAUGCUCAAUCUCCUUUACAAUGCACUAACGGGAUUACCCAAUUAGCUGCUACUGGAUGCCAUUAAGAACAUGUGUCUGUGUGUGUGUGUGUGUGUGUGUGUGUGUGUGUGUGCGAGCGUGCAUGGUCAGUAGAGUAAUGUGUUAGCAGUGAAAGUGAAAGAUUGAUGACUGUCUGUACCUAACACUUCAUUUCCAGUUGAUGUUCUGCUGGAGGCCACAUUACUCAUUCCCACAACUCAGUCACAAUGAGUAAGACACAAGAUAGGCAAGUAUGUGUGCAUCUGCGGAGACGUGGGCGCGUCCACGUGUGCGUGGGAGUGGGUGUACACAUCUGUGACAGAACACAGAAAAUGACAGAGAAAAAGACAAAGUAUUACUUUUUAAUUACUCUAUAAUUUAAACGAUCAAUCAGACUAAUUUGUGACUUGCAUUGCUUUGUGUCGUCCGUAGAGAUGCCUGCUUUAUUACAUGUGAAUCAUCAGUUACUUAGUGUAAGCAACAAAUCAAUCACAGGUUUCUAAUGUGUUACAUCACACUGGGGGCAAUGUGUUCAGCGCGCAAUUAGAGGAUCGAACAGCAGGAUGAGGAUUGAUUUUGAAGGAUGUCUCCUCCAAAACUGAGCUGCAAUUUUUAAAAUCUUAUUUUUGGUGAAUAUUAACUAAGAGGUAUCUGGAGAGACAAACAUCAGCCAUUUACUCACUAAAUAGUUUUCUCACGUGUUAAAGAGCAAACAUGGAUAUUGUGGAAAUGUAAAUUUGAUAGCCUUUGUACUUAAUUAGUUGCACAUACCUUGAAUCCUAAUUGUCACACACCCCUUUUAACAUUCAAACACAAUGCACUGGCUGUGUGCUUUUAUCUACAUUAUCUUACAA
Long non-coding RNA from Gasterosteus aculeatus aculeatus (three-spined stickleback), 3656 nucleotides. The record is from Ensembl. Lineage: Eukaryota; Metazoa; Chordata; Actinopteri; Perciformes; Gasterosteidae.